Molecule: ribosomal RNA, 290 nt
Filed under: uncultured bacterium
Lineage: Bacteria
Description: partial 16S ribosomal RNA
Rfam family: Bacterial small subunit ribosomal RNA
Source: RNAcentral
GGAUUAGAUACCCUGGUAGUCCACGCCCUAAACGAUGAUUACUGGACAUUUGCGAUAUACAGUGAGUGUCUGAGCGAAAGCAUUAAGUAAUCCACCUGGGAAGUACGUCCGCAAGGAUGAAACUCAAAGGAAUUGACGGGGGUCCGCACAAGCGGUGGAGUAUGUGGUUUAAUUCGAUGAUACGCGAGGAACCUUACCUGGGCUAGAAUGCGCGUGACCGGUUCUGAAAGGAACUCUUCUAGCAAUAGACACAAAGCAAGGUGCUGCAUGGCUGUCGUCAGCUCGUGCCG